This 155-nucleotide ribosomal RNA is filed under the name uncultured bacterium. Its description in RNAcentral is "partial 16S ribosomal RNA". It matches the Rfam family "Bacterial small subunit ribosomal RNA", at positions 355 to 507 of the family's 1533-position model. The record is from RNAcentral.
UGAGGAAUAUUGGACAAUGGGCGCAAGCCUGAUCCAGCCAUGCCGCGUGCAGGAAGACGCAUCUAUGGUGUGUAAACUGCUUUUGUACGGGAAGAAACACUCUCUCGUGAGAGAGCUUGACGGUACCGUAAGAAUAAGGAUCGGCUAACUCCGUG